GGACUCUUAGCUCAGUUGGUAGAGCGCCCGGUUUACAUCCGGUAGGUCAGAGGUUCGAGUCCUCUAGGGUCCA
RNAcentral lists this transfer RNA (73 nucleotides) under Candidatus Pacebacteria bacterium CG1_02_43_31. Its description in RNAcentral is "tRNA-Val". It matches the Rfam family "tRNA". Rfam says of the family: Transfer RNA (tRNA) molecules are approximately 80 nucleotides in length. Their secondary structure includes four short double-helical elements and three loops (D, anti-codon, and T loops). Lineage: Bacteria; Bacillati; Minisyncoccota. The record is from RNAcentral. RNAcentral also lists the same sequence under 3 other names.